This 497-nucleotide ribosomal RNA is filed under the name uncultured bacterium. RNAcentral's name for it is "partial 16S ribosomal RNA". It matches the Rfam family "Bacterial small subunit ribosomal RNA", at positions 28 to 507 of the family's 1533-position model. The record is from RNAcentral.
GAUGAACGCUGGCGGCGUGCCUAAUACAUGCAAGUCGAGCGAACGGACGAGAAGCUUGCUUCUCUGAUGUUAGCGGCGGACGGGUGAGUAACACGUGGAUAACCUACCUAUAAGACUGGGAUAACUUCGGGAAACCGGAGCUAAUACCGGAUAAUAUUUUGAACCGCAUGGUUCAAUAGUAAAAGACGGUCUUGCUGUCACUUAUAGAUGGAUCCGCGCUGCAUUAGCUAGUUGGUAAGGUAACGGCUUACCAAGGCAACGAUGCAUAGCCGACGUGAGAGGGUGAUCGGCCACACUGGAAGUGAGACAGGGUCCAGACUCCUACGGGAGGCAGCAGCAGGGAAUCUUCCGCAAUGGGCGAAAGCAUGACGGAGCAACGCCGCGUGAGUGAUGAAGGUCUUCGGAUCGUAAAACUCUGUUAUUAGGGAAGAACAUAUGUGUAAGUAAAUGUGCACAUCUUGACGGUACCUAAUCAGAAAGCCACGGCUAACUACGUG